CGGCUAAGCUAUUAAGGGCGUAUGGGGGAUGUCUUGGCAUCAGAUGGCGAUGAAGGGCGUGGAAGACUGCGAUAAUCUUGGGGAAGUUGUCAAACGAGCGUUGAUCCCGAGGUUCCCGAAUUAUCAUAUACUGAAUACAUAGGUAUAUGAGGCACACGCGGUGAACUGAAACAUCUCAGUAACCGCAGGAAAGGAAAGCAACAGCGACUUCGUUAGUAGCGGCGAGCGAAAGCGAAUCUAGCCUAAACCGUCUUGCUUCGGCAAGGCGGGGUCGUGGGGCUUGUCAUUGUGGAGUUACAAAACUGUUUGCUAGAAGAAUUCGUUGGAAAGCGAAACCAUAGAGGGUGACAGUCCCGUAUUUGAAAGUAAACAGACUUCCGACAGGUACCCGAGUAGGUCCGGCCACGUGGAAUCCGGACUGAAUCUGGGAGGUCCAUCUCCUAAGGCUAAGUAUUCUCUGAUGACCGAUAGUGAAAAGUAGGGUGACCGAAAGAUGAAAAGAACCCCUGUUAGGGGAGGGAAAGAACCUGAAACCAUACGCUUACAAGCUGUCGGAGCACUAUUAUCUUCGGAUAAGUGUGACGGCGUGCCUUUUGCAUAAUGAUCCGGCGAGUUACCGUCAAUGGCUCGAUUAAGGCCUUCCGGGCCGUAGUCUCAGCGAAAGCAAGUCUGAAUAGGGCGUUUUGUCAGUGGCGGUAGACGCGAAACCAGGUGAACUACCCAUGAGCAGGUUGAAGCGCGGGUAAGACUGCGUGGAGGACCGAACCCACCUAGGUUGAAAACUGGGGGGAUGACUUGUGGGGAGGAGUAAAAGUCUAAUCAAACCUGGAGAUAGCUCGUUCUCUCCGAAAUAGCUUUAGGGCUAGCCUUGAGCCACUACGUAAUGGGGGUAGAGCACUGAUUUGGACUGGGGCCCUUCCCGGGUACCCACCCUAGUUAAACUCCGAAUACCAUUGCGAUUAUCUCAGGAGUCAGUCCACGAGGGAGAAGCUUCGUGGUCGAGAGGGAAACAACCCAGACCGCCUGCUAAGGUCCCAAAGUCUUGCUAAGUCACUAAGGAUGUUAAGAUACUGUGACAGCCAGGAUGUUGGCUUAGAAGCAGCCAUCAUUUAAAAAGUGCGUAAUAGCUUACUGGUCGAGUGUUUUAGCACCGAUAAUGAACGGGAGUAAGCAAGACACCGAAGCAGCGGAUUCAGCUCACGCUGAGUGGUAGGAGAGCGUUCCAGCACAGAUACAAGCCGUACCGAAAGGAGCGGUGUCGGGUGCUGGAAGUGAUUAUGCCGGAAUGAGUAACGAUAAAACAGGUGAGAAUCCUGUUCGCCGCAAACCUAAGGUUUCCUGGGGAAGGUAAUUCCGCCCAGGGUUAGCCGGUACCUUAGUUGAGGCCGAAAGGCGUAGACGAUGGAGAGCAGGUUAAUAUUCCUGCGCCGGAUAUGUGGACCGAUGGGGGGACGUUGUGUAGAUUGUGAUCGGGCUGACAGAAAUGCCCGUAGGGGAAGACAAGGUCGUGGAUAGGAAAAUCCGCCACAUCAGACCAAGGCUUUCACUCGAGUCCAAUGAUGACGAAGUCAUAUGACGCAUAACCAAGAAAAGCCUCUAAGGAUUGAAGCAUAUCUGACCGUACUAAAACUGACACAGGUAGGUGAGGCGCGUAGCCUAAGGCGCUCGAGAAAACGCUGGUUAAGGAACUCUGCAAAUUGACCCCGUAAGUUAGCGAUAAGGGGUGCCUCCGACGGUUCACGCUGUUGGAGGCCACAGAAAAUCGGCUCUGGCGACUGUUUACUAAAAACACAGGACUCUGCGAACUCGUAAGAGGAUGUAUAGAGUCUGACGCCUGCUCGGUGCCGGUAAGUUAAGGAAGAGG
This 1864-nucleotide ribosomal RNA is filed under the name Gimesia sp. RNAcentral's name for it is "bacterial LSU rRNA". It matches the Rfam family "Bacterial large subunit ribosomal RNA", at positions 1 to 1888 of the family's 2925-position model. Lineage: Bacteria; Pseudomonadati; Planctomycetota; Planctomycetia; Planctomycetales; Planctomycetaceae. The record is from RNAcentral.